RNAcentral lists this long non-coding RNA (1400 nucleotides) under Pan troglodytes (chimpanzee). RNAcentral's name for it is "long non-coding RNA NONPTRT013868". The record is from RNAcentral. Lineage: Eukaryota; Metazoa; Chordata; Mammalia; Primates; Hominidae.
AAAUAAGUAACAUCUGUGCAUCACACACACACACACACGCACACGCACACAGCCUCUGAGGGCCCUCUCCCUUUUCCUACCACAAGGAAUGGAGGAGCCUGCCCUACUGCAAGCUGGAAUAUAUCAUGCAAUGAAGAUGGGAGGCCAAGCAAAUUUUUCUGGAAAGUGAAGUGGCAAGUUCCUGGUAUGUGGAAGUGCUGUCCGUCAAGUUGAGCAACCCCCUGACCCCUCAGAAUGGAGCACCUCACCCCCAUGUUACAGAAGAGGAUAUUCUAUAUCAUGGUAGAACUCAGUGGGCUCUGGGUUGCAACAUAGACUUGGAAGCUUCCAGCAGCUUCAAAGUCCAAGUAAUCUAAAUUCAGCCUUCAUCUAAUAAAGGCCACCUUUGUGGGCCAGCAUCUCCUGUUAGCUGAUCAGCAACUCAGACUUUCUUCCCUAUUAAGCUGCAUGUGAAGCAGUAUUUCAAGAGGUUUCUUGGGAUUGCCUGUGUCCCACGUCCUCAGAAGUUCAUCUGCAGCUUCACGCAGCUGACACUCUCAGAUUCCGGAGUAAACCUGAAAAAACCAUGUUCACUGCUACAGAUGUCUGUCUUCACCCCAUCCAUGUAAUGUGCCAGGUCUUAACUACCACCCCCUUACCUUGAAUGCCUGAGAAGCACGUUUCUAAGCUGAGUUGGUUGGUGGUUUUGUCUAUUUGUAAUGAACGCAUGAGAACUACCACUACUUGGUAUGUGCCUACAGUUGAGCCAGGGCCAAGGCCUGCAGCCACUUGAGUCUCAUUCACCUCAGCUGCGGCUCCAGGAACUAUGCGUCAGCAGCAUUAAGUGCAGGCUGAAGGCCCCCAUCUGAGAAGACAGUGCACUCUCCCUGAGUUCACCUCUCAUCAGGCUUGGGUUUUCAUGAAAUCAGUCCUCCGAGAUGCCUGUUCACUCAUCCCUGUCUGGGAAGGCAAAAAUCCUAAUGGCCAUGUCGACAUACCCAGCUGUGACAAGAUGAAGGACCACGAUUUGGGACUCUUCAGGGACAGACUUGGCCACCUGGUGAUGUGCCACCUUCAGCAGCUCUGUCUUCACACGUCCAGCCUGCGCCUGCUUCAUGUAGUACACAAGACUGCUCUGGUACACCACGACCAUGACCUUCACAUGAGGCCAGUCUCCCCGCCCCUCACCUGGGCCAUAGAAAAAGGAUGCUGCUGUGAAGAUGUAAUGGGUGGAGCCUCAGCAGCCAUCUUGUGACUAUGAGACCAUAAGCAGGAAGACCCAAGGCAACCACAGGGAAUGGUGGAACAAAGGAAUGGACAGAGCCCAGGGCUUUGAGAGCGCAUUCACUCACUGCCCCACGCCUAAAGUCACCAGCUCUCAGACCUCCUGUCUUGUGAUGAGAUGCCUUUAUCGCUAAAAC